Triticum aestivum (bread wheat) is the source of this 2529-nucleotide long non-coding RNA. RefSeq lists it as uncharacterized. The record is from RefSeq and is a predicted model, not a curated record. Lineage: Eukaryota; Viridiplantae; Streptophyta; Magnoliopsida; Poales; Poaceae. The transcript is spliced from 3 exons.
AUCCCGCACGCACCAGAAACACGAAAAACCAGCCCACGAUCCCACCCACGCCCCGCCCCCACCUCUCCCCGAGUCCUCGCUCCCGAUCUUGUCUCUCUCCCUGCCAAAUAUUGUCGCCGCCAGAGAGAGGAAGGAGCGUAGCAUAGGCACCGAGGAGGAAGGGGCCGCCUCGCUCGCUUCUGCUGACGCCGCUACCCCAAUCGCCGUCGCCGCCGUGGCGGACGCAGCGAGCCCCAAGCUGCGGGACACCGGGACGCUGGGACAGGAAGAACAGGGCCGCAUGAGCCGGAGAGGGCUCCGAGGAGAGCGUCCGCCCCAAAUCCAACCCCCGCCCCCAGGUGAUUCCGGUUCCGCCGCCCCGUAAUCCGCUCGAGCCGCGCCUAACUCCAUGGUUUAUUGCAGGUGGAGUGCGUGCCGGAGAAGCCCGACCUCGGCGCGGACGACCCCCUUCUCCUCGGCCACCCCUGUAGCCAGGCGAGCUCCGGUUUCGCCGCCCCGUAGAGAAGGAAUAAAGCCACGUGGGAAAGGCUACAUGGGUAAAGUUAGUAAUGUCUCGUCAUCCUUUAGGUCGCCCUCACUGCUUCUACCGGUGACCUUUGGAGGACGGGGGACGUGGUUAUCGUUGGUGGGAGGGAGCAGAGAGGCGACAGGGUUGAACAUGUAGAGGGUGUGCCAGCAGGUCCUUGGGCGUGAAUGCAGCGUCGUCAGACUUUACCAAGCUCAGCACAUGUGCCAUGAAGAAGUUCUUGUUUUCUUCUAAUCCAUUCAUAGCGGCCCCUCUCCUCUGUUAGUCUCUGUGUUAGUCUACUGGAGUGGCAGUGGAGACUCAAUGGCUGUAGUGCACUGGCGGUGAAGACUCAAUGACUGUAGUGCACUGGCGGUGGAGACUCAAUGGCUGUAGUGCACCUAUAUUUUGGGGUGGACGUACAUGUAGCCGACCCAUGUGAUGUAGCCAUGGAGGAACCGGACGCCGGGUGGGGGUACGGGCGGCCUGGGCACAGUCACGGUUACACACUCAUAGCAGGCUUAGAAGGACUUAGCCCCUUGAAAGGCGACAUUUUUAUCAUUGUUGGGGGCCGGGGCCUAGCUUUGCACUGUCAAUGUUACCGAGGUAUCAAUGACAUCUCCCAUGCCAACACUUUGAUCCCUUAAUUGUAUAAAAUGGAACUGUAUGCAUAGGGGGGGGGGAUAAUGAAGGUUUUGUUUCACAAGAUUUUAGGAGUAUAUUGUCAAGAAAAGUAACAGAACUGAGGUGCUAAGGAAUUUUGCAACAAUCCUGAAUUGUACUCUUUGGCUUAUGGCAAUCAUGAAUUGUACUCUCUUCAUUUGUGCUUCAACUUUGAGAAACAGAAUAAGCAGGUCAUAUUUCUUUAAACUUUAUAUUAUCUAAUAUGUAUUUAGAAAUUGGAAUACAAAGCCCUUAAUAUUACAACAGGAGCAUACUUGAGGGAAGAACUUACAUUGAAUAUAAUAAUGGAAUACCAAUGCAGCGACUCUCCUUCCCUCCCUGUGCUUUAGUUAUUCUAAGUUAGUUUCACUAAACUGAAACUGCAGUCAUAGAUCAUUACAGGUUUUGUCUGAACUUUGCAUCUAACUGUUACAUAUUUAAAUAUUAAUUAAGAAUGUGAGAGAUUACAGCUGCAGGACUGAUGUUAUUCGCUCUCAUUUGCAACUUUACGAAUCCACUUAGGAGAUGAUGUUAAUAUAUGCUUUGUCAGCAGAAGUCCUAGGUACCGAAGUUGGAUUGCUUACAAAAAAUCUAUACAGUUGGAUAGCUAAAAUCCGACGUGUGCUGUAUGAUUCUAGGAAGGCAACACAACUUUCUCUUGUUGUCAACGAAGAACAUUUUUCAGAUUUAUAUUAUUUUUCUUUGGAUAGGUGAAGUGUUUUAGUUUUACAAUGUAUUUGAUGCAAACAUUUUUUUUGGCAAGAAGUAUUUGAUGUACAAAAUCUCGAGUUCAGUCAAAGGAAAGAUGUGCCUGAGGUACUUUGUUUAUCCCCUUUCAAAUAUGAUUACAUGAUACUUUAUAAUCCUUGUUCAAUUAAUGGUGUAUUUUUAUGCGUGGUACUAUGAGAAAUAGUGGAUUUUGUGUAUUGGGAGUAUCAUGGUUAUAACAUUUCUUUUUAUAUGAUACAACGGGUCAUUUUAUGAGAAACACACAAUAAGAUUAAUGUAAAACGAGGGAAAAAUAAAAAAUUCUUAGAUAGACAGACAUCGCAUACACAUUACCCUUGAUACGGACAUUUGUAAAAAAGAAAAUGUAGAUAAUCAAUCUCUCUAUAUAGCUUUUAUUUAUUAUUCCGUGGCAACGCACGGGCACUCAGCUAGUUGUAUGUAAUGUAUGUAUGUAUGUGUGAGCCUUCCUCCUCAGAGAUGUUUUUUGAUUGAUGAUGCAUAUGCUGCAGGUCUCGUCUUUUUUUCUGCUUUGGCUUGUUUGAUUCAUGCAAUUUGAGAACGUAUUUAAGUUGCUAAGAUAUGAUCUAAAAGAGCAGGAUGGGACUAUUGAUUAAAAAAGGAGUACAAAAUUU